CCAAAUUUCUUGUCGAACUCUGUCUUGUGCUGAUAAAUGCGACGCAUCAGAGCUGGAAUCCAUGGAGUAGAGGGGUUACUGGCGAUGUGCCUGGAUCUUUGCGCCGUCAACCGACGUAUUGCAACAUACCUAAGUUGGACGACAUCGAGAUCGGCGUAUCUCAUUCCUGGGAAACAGGACAUUACUGUCGGAUGUAUCCCGGUAUCGUCGUAUCUAUCGUACGCAUGUUCCAAAACGGGCACCCAUGGCGUUGUGGGGUUGUCCACAACAUGUCGCGAUCUCUGCUUGGCAAGUCGAUUGUAUUCUCUAUAAAAAAUAAAUAAAUAAGAUUAAGUAUUAACAAUCUCUUUAGAGAAUAUAAAAUAAUGUUAAAUACCUCAAUUCAACCUCGUCAAGGCUAGAGUAUGUCUUUCCUGGGAAACAGGACAGGACGGCCGGAUGCACCCCUAUAUCGUCAUUUUUCUUAUACUUAGGUUCCAGGACUGGAAUCCAAGUAUUUGUGGAGUUACUGGCGAUGUGCUUGCAUCUCUGCGCCGACAACCGUUUGUAUUCUCUAUAAAAAUAAAUAAAUAGAAUUAAGUAUUAACAAUCUCUUGAGAGAAUAUAAAAUAAUGUCAAAUACCUCAGCUCAUCCUUAUCAAGGUCGGAGAAUUUCUUCCUCGGAAAGCAGGACAUGACGCCAGGAUGUACCACCUUCCCCCCUGCUCUCAAAAAAUCCACCGUGAGGGUAGGCGUUGUGCUGGAGGAUGACGACGAUGCAGUUGACGGGAGAGACCUCUGCCUUAGAGUUAAAAACGGCCUGUUUCACACAAAGGAAAACAUUUCUCUGAUGAGAUAAAACUACAAUUAUUAUUUAUAAAACAUCGCACAUACUUUUCUACCAUCACAGGCUCAGCUGCUGAAGGAGGAGGGUCGAUAAUUUGCACCUCAUCAUCAGAACUACAUAAGUAUAAUUAAAUAAUUAAUUGCACCACUAAAUUCUCUCAACAGAUAGUAACAAUAAAAACAUCCUUCAGUGAAACUUACUCAACGUAGUAACUCGCAGCAGAAUCGUCAAAAAAGCCAGACGACGACGAUUUAUUAAGUCCCCCGUCAAGAGACUUCUCACUAAAUAAAUCAAGAAAAGACGCAAUUAAUUUCUCUAUUGAGAUAAAAAAACAUCUAAUGUAUCAACGACGACAAAUUACUUGAAAGAGUCAUCAACUGUUGCUGGUGGAAGCGACGCCGCUCCAUUUCUCUCCGGAGAUGAAUCACUAACACAGAAAUAAACAAUAAAUUAUGUAGUUUCAAUA
Long non-coding RNA from Folsomia candida, 1292 nucleotides. RefSeq lists it as uncharacterized. Lineage: Eukaryota; Metazoa; Arthropoda; Collembola; Entomobryomorpha; Isotomidae. The transcript is spliced from 2 exons. The record is from RefSeq and is a predicted model, not a curated record.